RNAcentral lists this ribosomal RNA (407 nucleotides) under uncultured bacterium. Its description in RNAcentral is "partial 16S ribosomal RNA". It matches the Rfam family "Bacterial small subunit ribosomal RNA", at positions 30 to 526 of the family's 1533-position model. The record is from RNAcentral.
AUUGAACGCUGGCGGCAGGCCUAACACAUGCAAGUCGAGCGGAGCGGCCGACGGGCGAGUAAGGCCUAGGAAGCUGCCUGCUAGAUGGGGAGAACGUACGAAAAAGGGCGGUAAUAAAUAAUACAAGCAGAUAAGCCUAGGUGGGAUUAGCUAGUUGGUGGGGUAAAGGCCUACCAAGGCGACGAUCCCUAACUGGUCUGAGAGGAUGAACAGCCACACUGGAACUGAUACACGGUCCAGACUCCUACGGGAGGCAGCAGUGGGGAAUAUUGGCCAAUGGGCGCAAGCCUGAUGCAGCCAUGCCGCGUGUGUGAAGAAGGUCUUCGGAUUGUAAAGCACUUUAAGUUGGGAGGCGUUACCAACAAAGUAAGCACCGGCUAACUUCGUGCCAGCAGCCGCGGUAAUUC